This 74-nucleotide transfer RNA is filed under the name Formicarius rufipectus. Its description in RNAcentral is "tRNA-Ser". It matches the Rfam family "tRNA". From Rfam's summary of the family: Transfer RNA (tRNA) molecules are approximately 80 nucleotides in length. Their secondary structure includes four short double-helical elements and three loops (D, anti-codon, and T loops). Lineage: Eukaryota; Metazoa; Chordata; Aves; Passeriformes; Formicariidae. The record is from RNAcentral.
AAGAAAGAAGCAUAAGUGGUUUAAUGCGGUUGGCUUGAAACCAUCUUCUGAGGGUUCGAUUCCUUCCUUUCUUG